CACUUGGCUACAUCCGCC
This 18-nucleotide transfer RNA is filed under the name Neohouzeaua coradata. Its description in RNAcentral is "partial tRNA-His". Lineage: Eukaryota; Viridiplantae; Streptophyta; Magnoliopsida; Poales; Poaceae. RNAcentral also lists the same sequence under 1 other name. The record is from RNAcentral.